This 309-nucleotide ribosomal RNA is filed under the name Triticum aestivum (bread wheat). RNAcentral describes it as "partial small subunit ribosomal RNA". The record is from RNAcentral. Lineage: Eukaryota; Viridiplantae; Streptophyta; Magnoliopsida; Poales; Poaceae.
AUGGGGGCAUUGUUUUUGGAGCAGCGGCUGGAUGGAGGAGACAAGUGGUGGAGCGGUUUUUCAUUUACCACAUCAAAGAUGACGGAUCUCAGCGGCGUGGUGCAAUGGGGAUUCGGUGUCCGAUGCAAGGAGAUGGACUCGCGCAGGAGGAGGACGCUGUCUGGCGUCAUGGUGGCGUCGAUGGCAGAGAGGCCUAGCAAGGUCGGUGCGUUAGUUUUUGCUCUGAAGAUGGAUUGGUGGAAGAUGGCGGCGACAACACAUGAGAGUGCGUCAGACCGGUGUAUACCCCAAACCCAGUAUGUGGCUUGA